GUGUACCCGGUGCUCUGAGAAAUGGAGAGCUGCGCAAAGUUCCCCUCCCGUGGAGCUUAAAGCCCGAAAAAUCCUCUGUGCACAACCCAGGCUGGCAGAAUGGCAGUUGAUCCGCAGUGGGAGCCCAAAGAGUGAAGUGGGUUUGAAGGGAGCACAACUAGAAAGACGUUCCAAAACUGGCUGCACGGUAUUUAGAGAUUUGGGCACCAGCUGUAACGUGCACAUAUUUGCAGAGACUUCUGUUCAGCUGAGAACGGGCUGUGGACUCAAGAUGCUUAAUGGAAGUGGUGGCUCAGAAGUAGACUGGCUGUUCAGUCUCCAGUGAAGCAGAUGAGAAGUGCAAUCGGUCUCAGCCAGAAGAACCGGGUACCCUUCAAUCUGAGGCCUCUAAUGAUCUUGCAAUGACACUGGGCCGAGGAACAGUUUGCCUCUUCUUUCUUGUCACUGGGCACCUAGCACUGGGAUUGUUUUUCAGGAGUUGGGGCUAAGUGUGAAUUGCGUUCCUGACAGCCCAGAGAUACCUUCUGCUGUGAGGGAGAAGUGGAACUGGCCUGAAUGUGGGGCAGAUUUGAAUAAACCCUUUCACCUGUCCAGCAGUGCAGAAUUGUUCUUUGCCUUUUAUUUGCUCUUGCUGUGCUCAGGCUAAUCACAACCAACAAAACUUCAGCUGUUUGGGCAAGUGUAUCACAAGCCAGUGCACCUCAGCCUUAGGAAAUUUAUCUUACUGUUCAAGACAAUUCCUCAAACUCCUUGACAUUUACUCCUAUGGGUAUUUGUAGACUGUUAUGUCUGCCCUUACUUGUUGUUUAACCUAGCAGUAAGCAUUUAGCUCUGUCCUCAUAAAUCAUUUCCCUUCAGCUCCCUGGCUAGAAUGACUGUUCGUGCUCCUAACUAUGAAAAGCCCAGGCUAAGCCCACCCUUUAAAUGACUGCUUCCUGCUGGGCUUUAUUGGUGGCACAAAAUCGAUGUUCAAGCCAUGAUUUCAUUCCUGGCUCACUGCACGAUCCUUUGCUGAUUACACUGACCUAAGGAUCCAUAUCCGCAGGUCACCAGAUUUCUUUCCUGUGUCCUCCUUGCAUACACUUGCUCCACCUUUUCUUCCAACUUUAAAACCACCAGUUU
Long non-coding RNA from Oxyura jamaicensis (ruddy duck), 1122 nucleotides. RefSeq lists it as uncharacterized. The record is from RefSeq and is a predicted model, not a curated record. Lineage: Eukaryota; Metazoa; Chordata; Aves; Anseriformes; Anatidae. The transcript is spliced from 6 exons.